This 1131-nucleotide long non-coding RNA is filed under the name Phasianus colchicus (ring-necked pheasant). Its description in RNAcentral is "lncRNA (ENSPCLG00000016193.1)". Lineage: Eukaryota; Metazoa; Chordata; Aves; Galliformes; Phasianidae. The record is from RNAcentral.
ACCCAUGGCAGAAAGUUAAGUGAAGAUCAGAAAUUAUCCAUAUAUCUUCUCAGCUGAGGAUGCUUUAACUUCAGUUAACACAUAUGGUGACUGGAUAAGAGGUUUACAUCUUGAGGCUCCAUAGGAGUUCAUGGAGAUAAGGGUUCAGAGAGCUCUGGAGAUACCAGCUAUUCCAGUGUCAGACCUAUAAGAAAAAAGGAGAAAAUACUUUAUUCCAGAUCCAUAGUAAGGAAAUUGUAUGGAAAUGCUGGAGCAUACAAAAUAACCACAUCCACUAUACAGAGAUAAGGAACAAAUCCCAACAAACUUAAGAAAGAAAGAAAGAAAAAAAAGAAAGGAAGAAAGAAGAAAAAGGAGAAAAAGACAAGAAAGAAAAGAAAAAAGCAAAAGGAAAGGAAAGAAAAGGAAAGGAGGAGUAAAGAGAAAGGAAUGAAAGAAAGGAAGAUAACUUUAAAAACAUAUCAGCUCUGCUUAACUAAGUUACCAGGAAAAAAAAAGUACAGAAACCAAGUGUUUUGCAGUCAUGAAGCAGGGAUGACGCCUCCUCCAGGAUCAUCAAGUUGCCUUAUCCCAAUUGAGAGCAUAACAGGGUUUUCUUAACCUCAUCAUGAACCAUGGGCAGGGACUUCAUGAAGGCAACAAAGCAGAACAGGCUGAGAAGACUAAAUACCUUAGGAAACAGCUUUGCAAUAUGCUGAAGUCAGAUGUGAGGCAGAGGCUGGAAGUAAGAAGAAAAAAUAAUAGGUUCUAUCUUUCAAAGUACUCUAGGACUUCAAUAAAGAGUAAGUACUUUUUUUUUUUUUUUCCCAAUCUAGGUAAGACCAUUUAAAGCAGUUGACCCUGGUAAGACUGUAGAUUUGUGCUUAGAUCCACUUCCAGUGUCCAGACACAAAGCAACUGAACCAAUGUAAGAUUCAGUUUCACCCAUUAGAAAGUUAAAGAGAAUCUGCAAAGGGGAAAUCACUGAUCAUGAGCAGGGGUGUGAAAACCACAUUAUUCCAUAUCUUCUGAUCAAGAUUUUGUGAGGCUCAGAGGUGAGCAAUUUUAUUGGAUUUAUGAUAUGUCUGUGAAAUGAAAUCAAAGGAAAUCAAGAACAAUAAAUAUGCCUUAUAGUAGUACUAUAGGUGAAAA